GUAGGUGGCAAGCGUUGUCCAGAAUUAUUGGGCGUAAAGCGCGCGCAGGCGGUUCUUUAAGUCUGAUGUGAAAGCCCACGGCUCAACCGUGGAGGGUCAUUGGAAACUGGAGAACUUGAGUACAGAAGAGGAAAGCGGAAUUCCACGUGUAGCGGUGAAAUGCGUAGAGAUGUGGAGGAACACCAGUGGCGAAGGCGGCUUUCUGGUCUGUAACUGACGCUGAGGCGCGAAAGCGUGGGGGAGCAAACAGGAUUAGAUACCCUGGUAGUCCACGCCGUAAGCGAUGAGUGCUAAGUGUUAGGGGGUUUCCGCCCCCCCCUUAGUGCUGCAGCUAACGCAUUAAGCACUCCGCCUGGGAGUACGGCCGCAAGGCUG
This 375-nucleotide ribosomal RNA is filed under the name uncultured organism. RNAcentral describes it as "partial 16S ribosomal RNA". It matches the Rfam family "Bacterial small subunit ribosomal RNA", at positions 527 to 896 of the family's 1533-position model. The record is from RNAcentral.